GAUGAAGAACGUAGCGAAAUGCGAUAAGUAAUGUGAAUUGCAGAAUUCAGUGAAUCAUCGAAUCUUUGAACGCAUAUUGCGCCCUCUGGUAUUCCGGGGGGCAUGCCUGUUCGAGCGUCAUUUCAACCCUCGAACCCCUCCGGGGGGUCGGCGUUGGGGACCUCGGGAGCCCCUAAGACGGGAUCCCGGCCCCGAAAUACAGUGGCGGUCUCGCCGCAGCCUCUCCUGCGCAGUAGUUUGCACAACUCGCACCGGGAGCGCGGCGCGUCCACGUCCGUAAAACACCCAACUUCUGAAAUGUUGACCUCGGAUCAGGUAGGAAUACCCGCUGAACUUAAGCAUAUCAAUAAGCGGAGGA
This 358-nucleotide unclassified non-coding RNA is filed under the name soil metagenome. Its description in RNAcentral is "partial contains 5.8S ribosomal RNA, internal transcribed spacer 2, and large subunit ribosomal RNA". The stretch from base 1 to 120 matches the Rfam family "5.8S ribosomal RNA", at positions 35 to 154 of the family's 154-position model. The record is from RNAcentral.